GUGCACCAGGCGCGAAAACUCCGCAAUGCGCGAAAGCGUGACGGGGGGACCCCAAGUGCCGCUGUACUUUGUACGGCGGCUUCUCAGGAGUGUAAGGAGCUCCUGGAAUAAGGGCUGGGUAAGUCUGGUGCCAGCCGCCGCGGUAAUACCAGCAGCCCAAGUGGUGGUCGCGUUUAUUGGGCCUAAAGCGCUCGUAGCCGGGCCGGUAAGUCCUUUGUGAAAUCGGACGGCUUAACCGUUCGGCUUGCAAGGGAUACUGUCGGCCUUGGGGCCGGGAGAGGUCGGAGGUACUCCGGGGGUAGCGGUGAAAUGCUGUAAUCCCCGGGGGACCACCAGUGGCGAAGGCGUCCGACCAGAACGGACCCGACGGUGAGGGAUGAAAGCUGGGGGAGCGAACCGGAUUAGAUACCCGGGAGUCC
RNAcentral lists this ribosomal RNA (419 nucleotides) under uncultured Methanobacteriales archaeon. RNAcentral describes it as "partial 16S ribosomal RNA". It matches the Rfam family "Archaeal small subunit ribosomal RNA", at positions 330 to 747 of the family's 1478-position model. The record is from RNAcentral. Lineage: Archaea; Methanobacteriati; Methanobacteriota; Methanobacteria; Methanobacteriales.